Molecule: long non-coding RNA, 557 nt
Organism: Erigeron canadensis
Lineage: Eukaryota; Viridiplantae; Streptophyta; Magnoliopsida; Asterales; Asteraceae
Exons: 3
Source: RefSeq, a predicted model, not a curated record
CACCUCUCUCUCUCUCACACACUUAAUGCAAGACUUUCAUGUCUAUCUCUCUCUAGCAAAUUAUCAUCAUUAAAUGUUACUCUAACUAAACUAGUCAUAAAUCCAUCAUCAUUAUCAUCAUUUAAUCAUCAUAUCAAAUAAUCAAGUUUUCAAGUGCAAGAAAUCUUGUUUUAUAGCUUAUAUUCGGAUUUUUAGCUUUGGUGGAGUUUUGGUCGUGAGCAUUGAAGAUCCUUGAACGUUUGUAGCUCAUUGAAUAAUUGUAACUCAAUCUUAAAUUGCUCGUAACCGGCGAAGGUGAACAGAUUAACCAAAGACGUAUUGGAUGAUUAUUUGCUUAAAAGAGCUAGGAUUGAACUUGAACUUGGACUUCAUGGAUCCGUGAUUCAUAGUUCCCGAUUAUGGGUUAUGCUUAGGAUCAUUUACCAUCUUUUGAACUAUUAUUUUGUAAACGUUUGAUGGGCGUGCUCCUUAUGCAUUUUUGUAUGAUCCGGUAUUUGUAAUUGAAUGAUUUGUAUGGAUUUCCAAUCCUUUGUAUGCAUUAGUUUGGAUCUACUUAA